Molecule: non-coding RNA, 1121 nt
Organism: Chiloscyllium plagiosum (whitespotted bambooshark)
Lineage: Eukaryota; Metazoa; Chordata; Chondrichthyes; Orectolobiformes; Hemiscylliidae
Source: RefSeq, a predicted model, not a curated record
AGCUCACCAAACUGCUCAGUCCAGAUGAGCUGGGACUUUCUUUCCCUCCAAAUUGGUCCGAAUGACCCACAGAAGUUAAUGAAUGGCUCCUAAAAUAACAGCAGACACAAUUUACCCAGGACUGAGCUGUGAAAGGAUGUUCCCGCUGUGAACACACACAUUACAAAGGAGAUACUCAGAACCACUCCCUUUUCUCUGCUGGAGGGAGACCUAUCUUUUACAACACGUUUGGAGGGACAGACUUUUAAUAUGCCAACAGAUGUCGUCAAACUCAACAUUCAGUCACAAGGGAACCGAGGGGACCUGUUAAAAUACAACUCAAUUUAAAAAGAUUAAUUUUAGAGGCUGUUUGGGGGAAGAAUAAAGGAAAUCAUUUUAAAGAACUCCUGUGGUUUUGAUAUUUUUACCAUUUUGAAAGGGGGUUGGGGGGGUGGGGAGGAAGUGAAAAAAUAAAUAAAUAAAAUUUUAAUGUGACUGCCUCAGCUCCAGUUACGUCAAACUAGAUGGACUUUAAUGGGCCUUUGUAAUAUAUAUCCAUCUAAGAAGUGGACUUCACCCCUCACCAGUGUCAAUGAUGGAUCCAAAUCCACCAGUCAAUGUCGAAUUGUGUUCUGGGCUCGAAGCUGAAAACCAUUCAUACCAUUUGCCUCAUUCAGGAUGGUGUCUGCGUCUCAAACCGAACGGAAACAAAUCUUGGAACCUGGGGGGGCAGAGAGUGGGGGCAGGGGCUGGAGGGUGAAGGUGACAUCACCCAGCUCCCUGUUCCCCCUCUCCCCCCCCCCCCAACCAAAACCCCCCAUCUCUGCACCCCCACCCCUGCUACAACAUUACCCCAAACAGAUUAGGUGGGAGUGUGAGUGCCGGACUGGAGCGAGUCGUGUAAAUAUAUUAACCCCUCACCUCCCCCGCCCACCCCCACCCCCUCCCGGAACUGAAGUGACAAGAACCAGAGGGGGGGUGAAUUUGGACUGAUGUUUUGACCAAUGGGAACGUCCAUGUGAAUUCACCACACACUCGGGUACACGUUGAAUUAUUGCCUUUUUAUGUUAAUUGUUUACAAUGUUCAUACACUGUGUUUGGUUCAAAUUGUUAAGCGCUCAAUAAAUGUGUUGGAAAAAUUG